GAUGAACGCUGGCGGCGUGCUUAACACAUGCAAGUCGAACGGUGAAAGAGAGCUUGCUCUCUGGAUCAGUGGCGAACGGGUGAGUAACACGUAAGCAAUCUGCCCCUGACUCUGGGAUAAGCGCUGGAAACGGCGUCUAAUACCGGAUACGAGCUGCGAAGGCAUCUUCAGCAGCUGGAAAGAACUUCGGUCAGGGAUGAGCUCGCGGCCUAUCAGCUUGUUGGUGAGGUAAUGGCUCACCAAGGCGUCGACGGGUAGCCGGCCUGAGAGGGUGACCGGCCACACUGGGACUGAGACACGGCCCAGACUCCUACGGGAGGCAGCAGUGGGGAAUAUUGCACAAUGGGCGCAAGCCUGAUGCAGCAACGCCGCGUGAGGGACGACGGCCUUCGGGUUGUAAACCUCUUUUAGCAGGGAAGAAGCGAAAGUGACGGUACCUGCAGAAAAAGCACCGGCUAACUACGUGCCAGCAGCCGCCGUAA
RNAcentral lists this ribosomal RNA (482 nucleotides) under uncultured bacterium. RNAcentral describes it as "partial 16S ribosomal RNA". It matches the Rfam family "Bacterial small subunit ribosomal RNA", at positions 28 to 523 of the family's 1533-position model. The record is from RNAcentral.